Molecule: ribosomal RNA, 332 nt
Filed under: uncultured bacterium
Lineage: Bacteria
Description: bacterial SSU rRNA
Rfam family: Bacterial small subunit ribosomal RNA
Source: RNAcentral
AACGAACGCUGGCGGCAUGCCUAACACAUGCAAGUCGAGCGCCCGCCGUAGCAAUACGGAGGGAGCGGCGCACGGGUGAGUAACGCGUGGGAACCUGCCCUGAGGUUCGGAACAACCGCGGGAAACUGCGGCUGAUACCGGAUGAUCCCCCUGGGUAACACUUGGGGCAAAGAUUUAUCGCCUUGGGAGGGGCCCGCGUCCGAUUAGGUAGUUGGCGGGGUAACGGCCCACCAAGCCUGUGANCGGUAGCUGGUCUGAGAGGAUGAUCAGCCACACUGGGACUGAGACACGGCCCAGACUCCUACGGGAGGCAGCAGUGGGGAGUAUUGGAC